Molecule: ribosomal RNA, 229 nt
Filed under: uncultured bacterium
Lineage: Bacteria
Description: partial 16S ribosomal RNA
Rfam family: Bacterial small subunit ribosomal RNA
Source: RNAcentral
UGCGUAGGCGGAUUAUUAAGUCAGUGGUGAAAGUCUUCAGCUUAACUGAAGAAGUGCCAUUGAUACUGGUAGUCUUGAGUACAGUAGAGGUAGGCGGAAUUUAUGGUGUAGCGGUGAAAUGUAUAGAUACCAUAAAGAACACCGAUAGCGUAGGCAGCUUACUAUACUGUAACUGACGCUGAGGCACGAAAGCGUGGGGAGCGAACAGGAUUAGAUACCCUGGUAGUCC